CCGCCAAUCUGGGCCAAAUGGCUGGCUUCUGGCUCCCUGUGGUUUCUGGAAGGCAGGAAGCCGCAGACAGCAGACCACGGAGGGCGCCAGCGAGACAGCCUUUCUCUUGGCUUCAUGCCACCGCCAUUCUAGAUUCCUUUUUCCUAUUCUAACUACCUAACAGAUUCAAAGGUCUGGGAUGGAACCUGAGGAUCUGCAUUUCAACGGGCUCUCAGCGGUCACAGCUCAUCCACAGGCACUAGCCCACCUGUCCUUACCUGGCCCUGAAGCCUGACAUUCCAUUUCACAGGAAGCAGACAAAGUACAAUGAAGUCCUACGGAGGGUUCGGAGAUUAAUGAUAACACAUGACUCACGCCACAAAGUUGCACAAGCAGCAUUAAGCCAGAGGAAUGGAGCUCCCACUUCUUCCUACUUUGUCCCUCUAAGACAGAACUGACGAAAGCCCAAAAGGUGGCCCGCUCCCCACAAGCCCCCACUGUGCCUUGGAGUCACAUGAAGCCAGGGAAGGAGGACAUGCCGAGUCAGCACAGAACCUGCCCGGCAAACACAGGCAAUUUCGCUUCCAACUCCCUGCCUCCUCUCUCAGCCCAGCCUCCAGAAUGAGCCUGGCUGGGACCCAGGUUCUUCUGCUUGUAAUUAACCAUUAUCGGCUGGUCGAGUCAAUGAUACAGUGAACUAGAUCAGGCUAGGGCAAGAGACAGGAAGGAACCUUCGCCCCUUGAACAUGAGGGAGCCCACGUAGAAUUUCCCUCUAUGCGCCAAACAUGGCAGACCCUUCUGGGCCUCAGACUUCUCAACAUGGAUGCCCCCAAAGAAGAAUUUUUUGCUUAUUUAUUGAACAUCCAGUCUGCCAAGCAGCUCAUAGGCCCUAUCACCAAUCUUCACAAUAAGCCUGGUGCAGCUUUCACUAUAUUAUCCCUAAUUUAUACAUAAGGCGACAGACACAGAGAGAGGAAGUAGCUUGCGUAUGCUCACACAGCUGGCAACUGAGUCACAAUUUUGACUCAUUUCAUUAUGACUUCAAAGACUGUUGCUUUUCUCAGGAUUCUCUUUCUCAAGAACUCCUAUUUACCCAUCAAACCCAGUGUCACAGUGUUAUUUCCUACGUGAUGCCCUCCCUCAUUCUCUCUGUUCACCUCCCCCAAGCAGGGUGAGCCAUUCUUACUAGAAUUCCGAAUGAAGUUUUGACUUAGUGGCAUUUGACUGGAGGGCCUAGGAGCUCCUGCAUUUUGCUCUGCUAAUUAUCCCUUCUCCUUAAACUACACAUCCAAGGAAUAACAGGAAAAACAAAUGGCACUUGUUAUUAGCUAGGUCAGUGUCUGAUAUCCCCAGGGCAUAACUGCUGUGCACAACCCUAAAUCCAAAAGAUAAGUAAAGCAGUGGCCAACCCCAACGCAGUAGACUCUAGAAUUAUUUGAAAAGAGAAUGAGGCUUAAUAUCUGGCUCCAAUCUUGGUUCCAGAACUUUUAUGAGUUUGAAAACCCAAUCAGAAGAGACAACCAGGGGACGUGUCUCAAAGGCAUGUUGGAAUCAUAAGCCCAGUCUUCAUUUCAGUUUUUGUUUCACGUCGUUUGGAGGGAAAACCCUAACUAAUAGAGCUCCCAUCACAGAAGCUCACCCAGGUUGGCUACCCAGCAAUAGUGCACAAUAGGAGUGCUAAGUUGCUUCAGACUCUUUGCGACCCCGUGGACUAUAGUCCAGCAGGCUCCUCUGUCCAUGGGAUACUGAACGCAAGAAUACUGGAGCGGCACAUUAGGGACAAGACACAAAAGCAAAGUCAAGUCUGGUCCAUUCUACCUGCCCCAAGGCACUGGCCCAGCUUCUCAGCCCAAGGUUCUGGUCUGCUGCUGCUAAAGUGAAUGAGGAAUGUUGCAACAACAUCUGGAGCCGCCCCCAGCGGAAGCCUGCAGAGUGGCAGUGGCAGCGGUGACAGCUCAGAACGCAGGCCUCUCACCGUGUGGACAUCCACGCAUCCACCAGCACACACAGACUAUGUGCACGUGGUCAUGUCUACAUGUCCACACGUACACAUGCACAUGCGUGUGUGUUUGUACACCACACAAGCAUGCCCUGUACGUGUGUGCUUGUGUGUGCAUGUGUGUUCAGAUGUGUGCAUUCACACCUAUGACCCAUACACACAUGGCCAUGCCUGUGUGCACAGAUGCACAUGCUUACAUGUGUGUUCAGACGUGUGCAUUCACACCUAUGACCCAUACACAUAUGGCCAUGCCUACAUGCACAGAUGCACAUGCUCAGAUGCACAGGCCUGGCCACAGACACAAUCACGGCCACAGCACUGGGACUGAGAUAAGGGAUCCUAGUUCUGGGCUGGAGCUUGGGAAGGCCACAGCCCCAGGGAUGCCCCAAGAAUCUGCGCUCUCUGUUCCCCAUUCAAGUCAGCAAAAGCCAAGCCUGUCCUUCAAUCUGGAACUGGAGCCCAGCUUCCCAGCCCCUCCUCUUGGCGACACAGAUUUCCCUGUCCUUGCCCUGCUCCUUCCCUAGACCUGGCCCUGCCCCAGCCUGAUCACAGCUCCCAGUCCCUAUCCUGGAGGCUGAUGUGAACAGCUUCCCC
This is a long non-coding RNA of Bos taurus (domestic cattle), 2573 nucleotides long. NCBI's taxonomy places the organism in Eukaryota, Metazoa, Chordata, Mammalia, Artiodactyla, Bovidae. The record is from Ensembl.